Molecule: ribosomal RNA, 512 nt
Filed under: uncultured Archaeospora
Lineage: Eukaryota; Fungi; Glomeromycota; Glomeromycetes; Archaeosporales; Archaeosporaceae
Description: SSU rRNA
Rfam family: Eukaryotic small subunit ribosomal RNA
Source: RNAcentral
AGCAGCCGCGGUAAUUCCAGCUCCAAUAGCGUAUAUUAAAGUUGUUGCAGUUAAAAAGCUCGUAGUUGAAUUUUAGGCCUGGCCGGGCGGUCCGUCUUUGGCGAGUACUGUUCUGUGUCGGGUCUUACCUUCUGGUGAACCGGCAUGUUCUUUAUUGAGUGUACCGGGGAGCCAGGACCAUUACCUUGAAAAAUUAGAGUGUUUAAAGCAGGCAUUUGCUUGAAUAGAUUAGCAUGGAAUAAUAGAAUAGGACGUUGGUUCUAUUUUGUUGGUCUAGGACCACCGUAAUGAUUAAUAGGGAUAGUUGGGGGCAUUAGUAUUCAAUUGUCAGAGGUGAAAUUCUUGGAUUUAUUGAAGACUAACUAUUGCGAAAGCAUUUGCCAAGGAUGUUUUCAUUAAUCAAGAACGAAAGUUAGGGGAUCGAAGACGAUCAGAUACCGUCGUAGUCUUAACCAUAAACUAUGCCGACUAGGAAUCGGGCGGCGUUAUUUUUAUGACUCGCUCGGCGCCUU